AACGAACGCUGGCGGCAUGCCUAACACAUGCAAGUCGAACGAGACCUUCGGGUCUAGUGGCGCACGGGUGCGUAACGCGUGGGAACCUGCCCUUAGGUUCGGAAUAACUCCCCGAAAGGGGUGCUAAUACCGGAUAAUGUCUUCGGACCAAAGAUUUAUCGCCUUUGGAUGGGCCCGCGUUGGAUUAGCUAGUUGGUAGGGUAAAAGCCUACCAAGGCGACGAUCCAUAGCUGGUCGGAGAGGAUGAUCAGCCACACUGGGACUGAGACACGGCCCAGACUCCUACGGGAAGCAGCAGUGGGGAAUAUUGGACAAUGGGCGAAAGCCUGAUCCAGCCAUGCCGCGUGAGUGAUGAAGGCCUUAGGGUUGUAAAGCUCUUUUACCCGGGAUGAUAAUGACAGUACCGGGAGAAUAAGCUCCGGCUAACUCCGUG
RNAcentral lists this ribosomal RNA (433 nucleotides) under uncultured bacterium. RNAcentral's name for it is "partial 16S ribosomal RNA". It matches the Rfam family "Bacterial small subunit ribosomal RNA", at positions 29 to 507 of the family's 1533-position model. The record is from RNAcentral.